Echinops telfairi (small Madagascar hedgehog) is the source of this 107-nucleotide small nuclear RNA. Lineage: Eukaryota; Metazoa; Chordata; Mammalia; Afrosoricida; Tenrecidae. The record is from Ensembl.
AUGCUCACUUCGGCAGCACAUAGACUAAAAUUGAAACGAUACAAAGAAGAUUAGCAUGGCUCCUGUGCAAGGAAGACAAAAAAAUUUGUGAAGUGCUCCACAUUAAA